GGGCACAUGGUGUAGUUGGUUAUCACGCCCGCUUAGCAUUAGUGCUUCCUGCGGGCGGUCCCCGGUUCAAUUCCGGGUGUGUCCA
RNAcentral lists this transfer RNA (85 nucleotides) under Sphagnurus paluster. Its description in RNAcentral is "tRNA-Ala". It matches the Rfam family "tRNA". Rfam says of the family: Transfer RNA (tRNA) molecules are approximately 80 nucleotides in length. Lineage: Eukaryota; Fungi; Basidiomycota; Agaricomycetes; Agaricales; Lyophyllaceae. The record is from RNAcentral.